Molecule: ribosomal RNA, 449 nt
Filed under: uncultured bacterium
Lineage: Bacteria
Description: partial 16S ribosomal RNA
Rfam family: Bacterial small subunit ribosomal RNA
Source: RNAcentral
AACGAACGCUGGCGGCAUGCCUAACACAUGCAAGUCGAACGAGAUCUUCGGGUCUAGUGGCGCACGGGUGCGUAACGCGUGGGAAUCUGCCCUUUGGCUCGGAAUAACAGUUGGAAACGACUGCUAAUACCGGAUGAUGACGAAAGUCCAAAGAUUUAUCGCCAGAGGAUGAGCCCGCGUAGGAUUAGCUAGUUGGUGUGGUAAAGGCGCACCAAGGCGACGAUCCUUAGCUGGUCUGAGAGGAUGAUCAGCCACACUGGGACUGAGACACGGCCCAGACUCCUACGGGAGGCAGCAGUGGGGAAUAUUGGAGAAUGGGCGAAAGCCUGAUCCAGCAAUGCCGCGUGAGUGAUGAAGGCCUUAGGGUUGUAAAGCUCUUUUACCCGGGAUGAUAAUGACAGUACCGGGAGAAUAAGCUCCGGCUAACUCCGUGCCAGCAGCCGCCGCGG